RNAcentral lists this long non-coding RNA (524 nucleotides) under Rosa chinensis. RNAcentral's name for it is "sRNA RchiOBHm_Chr6g0289061". The record is from RNAcentral. Lineage: Eukaryota; Viridiplantae; Streptophyta; Magnoliopsida; Rosales; Rosaceae.
GAAAACAUGGAAGAGCUCGGCCUCUUCCCCACCUAUAAAAGGUAGCGGAAGCUCUGAGAACACUGCAAAUAACGGUCCGCCCAUCGGACCAGCGUUAACAAAGACUUGGGCCACCGCUCAAUCUUAAACAUUAACACUAUGUACUAGGUAUAGAAAUCAAAAGAGACAGGGCACAUAGACUACUGAAAAGAUUUGGUAAGGAAAAGUGUACAGCUGGAGAAGUUCUCAUGUCUAAAGGUGAUAAACUAACCAAGAAGCAGAGCCCUAAGAAUAAUGUUGAAAAAGAAAACAUGGAGUCAAGCCUUAUGCAAGACAUAUUGGAAGUCUUAUGCAUGCACAAGUCUGCACUAGGCUAGACUUGUCUUUUGCUGUUGGAAUAUUGUCAAGGUUCCAAUCUAAUCUAGGCCACGAACAUUAGGUGGUUGGAAAGAAAGUGUUGAGAAACCUGUAGAGAACUAAAAAUCAUAUGCUUGUGUACAGACAAGUAAAAGAUCUAAAACUUGUUGGGUUUUCAAAUUCUGAUU